GAUGAAGAACGCAGCAAAAUGCGAUAAGUAAUGUGAAUAGCAGAAUUCAGUGAAUCAUCGAAUCUUUGAACGCACAUUGCGCCCGCCAGUAUUCUGGCGGGCAUGCCUGUUCGAGCGUCAUUUCAACCCUCAAGCACAGCUUGGUGUUGGGACUCGCGUUAAUUCGCGUUCCUCAAAUUGAUUGGCGGUCACGUCGAGCUUCCAUAGCGUAGUAGUAAAACCCUCGUUACUGGUAAUCGUCGCGGCCACGCCGUUAAACCCCAACUUCUGAAUGUUGACCUCGGAUCAGGUAGGAAUACCCGCUGAACUUAAGCAUAUCAAUAAGCGGAGGA
This 332-nucleotide unclassified non-coding RNA is filed under the name soil metagenome. RNAcentral's name for it is "partial contains 5.8S ribosomal RNA, internal transcribed spacer 2, and large subunit ribosomal RNA". The stretch from base 1 to 120 matches the Rfam family "5.8S ribosomal RNA", at positions 35 to 154 of the family's 154-position model. The record is from RNAcentral.